AGGACGAACGCUGGCGGCGUGCUUAACACAUGCAAGUCGAGCGGUAAGGCCUUUCGGGGUACACGAGCGGCGAACGGGUGAGUAACACGUGGGUGAUCUGCCCUGCACUUCGGGAUAAGCCGUGGGAAACUGGGUCUAAUACCGGAUAUGACCUCCUAUCGCAUGGUGGGUGGUGGAAAGAUUUAUCGGUGCAGGAUGGGCCCGCGGCCUAUCAG
RNAcentral lists this ribosomal RNA (215 nucleotides) under uncultured soil bacterium. Its description in RNAcentral is "partial 16S ribosomal RNA". It matches the Rfam family "Bacterial small subunit ribosomal RNA", at positions 26 to 244 of the family's 1533-position model. The record is from RNAcentral.